Molecule: ribosomal RNA, 464 nt
Filed under: uncultured bacterium
Lineage: Bacteria
Description: partial 16S ribosomal RNA
Rfam family: Bacterial small subunit ribosomal RNA
Source: RNAcentral
CUACGGGUGGCAGCAGUGGGGAAUAUUGGACAAUGGGGGAAACCCUGAUCCAGCAAUGCCGCGUGUGUGAAGAAGGCCUGCGGGUUGUAAAGCACUUUCGGUUGGGAGGACUGCUUCUAGCACUAAUAUUGUUGGAAGUUGACGUUACCUUCAGAAGAAGCACCGGCUAACUCCGUGCCAGCAGCCGCGGUAAUACGGAGGUGCAAGCGUUAAUCGGAAUUACUGGGCGUAAAGCGCGCGGAGGCGGCUAGAUCAGUCGGGUGUGAAAGCCCCGGGCUUAACCUGGGAAUUGCAUCCGAUACUGUCUAGCUUGAGUACAGGAGAGGAGAGUGGAAUUCCACAUGUAGCGGUGAAAUGCGUGGAUAUGUGGAGGAACACCAAUGGCGAAGGCAGCUCUCUGGCCUGAUACUGACGCUGAGGUGCGAAAGCGUGGGGAGCAAACAGGAUUAGAUACCCCUGUAGUC